Molecule: long non-coding RNA, 607 nt
Filed under: Pongo abelii (Sumatran orangutan)
Lineage: Eukaryota; Metazoa; Chordata; Mammalia; Primates; Hominidae
Description: lincRNA
Source: RNAcentral
ACCCACAACGGCCAAGGCCCGGCUACAGCGCGUCCACGAAGCCCACGUACUGAGCCAGGACGGGGCUCUCCCUCUCGAUGUAGGGGACUACCCACUGCUCCGCCACCCAGUGAGGCAGCUAAUUAAGAAAGCCACCUUCAGGAUGUCUUUCAAGAAUCUAGCCUGGAAGAAAGUCAUGUAAGAGAACCCUGCAUCAAAAAGUCGGGAGGCCGGGCGGAGUCGCCGUUAAACGUCUCGGGAAAGCCACCAGGUGGGCCGGCGAACGCUCCCGGGCCAGCAGCGCCAUCUUCUUGAAAACCUCUGCACCAUGACAGCCAAGUGGAGAAAGAAGUGAAUGCAUAGGCUGAAAUGCAAAAGAAGAAAAGUGAGGCAGAGGUCCAAGUAAACUGCUAGCUUGUGCACCCAUGGAGGCCACAGCAGCAGAAACAUGAAGUGCCAGAGGCUGGGGAUGCUGGCACAAGUUGUUGGACUGCAUGCUACUGUCUAGAGCUUGUCUCAAUGGAUCUAGAACUUUCAUUGCCAUCUGAUCACUGAGACCACCUCUGAGACCCACCUUGCUCAUAAUCAAAUCUGUCCAUCUUGGGUUUUUGCCCUGGAACUGUGACAU